UGCACAAUGAAAACUUAUUUUAUUCAAUGUUCCAUCAUGGAUCAAAAAUAUACUUUGACUACACAAACAAAAAUAGCUGUUAAUAUUACAAGCAAAAAUCAAACAAAUAUAUCAAUAGAAUAGUUUGCGGCCUUGCUGUUUUUAUAGCAACCCUGUAAAAUAAUUGUUUUUUUCCCAAUGUAAGUUUGAGUUAAUUGACUGUACAAGUCAUUUCAACUUAAUCAAAUCUUACUUAAAUCUCAACAAGUGAUGAGUUGCUUUAACUUGAUGAGUCGCUGUAAAAAUAAAACAUGAGGUAAUGUAAACAUAUGUUGCCAUGAGUUGUAACAUAUGUGGUAACAGGUUGUCCCUUCUGUUAAAUAGAUCUGUGUCUAUAUGAUUUUAACAAUCUUAGCGUUUAUUUAAUAUUUUUGUACUGAAAAUACAUAGAUUGAAAAAACAGGCGUUUGGAAUUAAUCUUCAGAGUAUGAAACGUAUGCUGAGCAGGUGGUGUUGGCUAGACAAAGCAUUUUUUCUGGUCAUUUAUAGAAACAUAUGGUGUAUUAACACCUUCACCUGACCACAGUGCACAAGAGCUCCUUUGGAUUGACCUUAGAUCGCAAAGCAAUUACCAGAGCUCCAUCUUUCGUCUAUUCAACAAAUCCAAUGAUCUUUCUAGCUGUCUUUACAACAUUGGCGUUGACCUUACAAAGUGUUGGUUUAGGAAAAUGUGGAUGGCUUUAGGUGUAAAUGCUUCCACACUGCCUUUCCUCAUAGACACGGACAGAUCAGAAAGUGGUGAAGGUGGUGUUGUCACUUAAUAAUUAAUGUCCAGUCAGUCUGCCAAACUUUACCUGUAAGAUGGAAAACAAGACCAUUUACAAAGGUAUCCUAUGUAAAAGAGACCAGAAAGACUUCAAAAGAGCAAGGGGUCAAUGUAGCUUUGACAGCUGAGGUAAAAUAAUUGUCAGCUAACUUAAUUCAGGAGUUUUUUUUAGUUCAUCCAUCUCAUCUCUUAAAGAAAGUUUGAGGAUUUGGAAGAAAGAUGUUUGCAAUGUAAGCAAAAAAAUUGUAUUUUUUCCUUUUGUGGUAUUGAUGUUAUUCUAACUAGACUAACAUAAUUGUAAGCAGGCACAGCAUUAGGAUAAGAAGUAAUAGCUUUCUGUAUAACUAACAUUUACAGAUCCAGAGAUGCAAGGUUUCCUAGAAUCGGUUCAAUUCCUUAGCUUUAGAUGUCCAGUCCUACUUGAGUUUACAGGUAUCUGGAUUGGACCCAUGGUGGUCAAAGGGAAUUCCCUCUACUUUCAAUCUUCGAGUCAUUCCCUUUGUCUCUCUCCUUCCUCACCUCUAGGUUUGUUGUCUGGGGAUUGCACAGAAUGAUGGCAGAGUCUGUGAUCAGUCCCAGUUUGUCUUGGCAGAGCCGGACCGCUAGUGUUUCCCUCUUCUCUCCCCUCAGACGCACUGCGGCAGCCACGGCACACACACACACUUCCAACCCUACACACACUCCACUCACUUCUGUUUUUAGGAGGGAGGGAGUGGGACGGCUCUCUUGUCUUGUCUCAGCCAAACUCUUCUUUCUUCAAGUCUCUUCUCGCUUGGAAGGCUUUCUUCGGAACGUGCGAUCGCUCCAGAGAAGUUUGGAAGCUAAAUUUUGCGAAAUCUUGGAUCCGUACGCUGGGCGUCAAUUGGGAAUAUGGCACUUGUGCAGGGUAAGCAUACUCACAGGGAUCCCAAAUAUGCUGUAUUUCCCGAAGAAAGGAGAGCAUCUUGGCUCUGUGGAGGACUUGGGUCGCACUGGAUUACUGGACACGGAUGGCGCUUCUGCUUCAUAUUUAAGGCUGUGACCACAGGCCUAUCCCAGUUCUUCUCCGACACAUAUGACACAACCAUCCUGUAGCUGGAUAAUAGAAACCUAGAGUCCCGCUUUCAGGGAAGAUAGUUGCCCCAGACAAGCUGACCUAAAUCGAUCCCAGUACUGUCUGGAAGCCGCAAGUGAGAGAGUGGGAGAGAGAGAGACACAGCUGCGUAGCUCUUAACUAGCAGAGCUGCUCUACACCGGCAGCCAUCGUGUGGAGAAUCGAAGGGAUUGCAGACCCUUUCACUCGCUCUCUUUUUCUGAGCUGCUGGAGGGAAACUGGCACGCCUUGCCACAUCUCUUGGGGUUCGGCUCUUUCCAUCCGCUUCCUCCUUUUUUCCGGUUGUCUUCCAGCAGGUAUCCAUCCUUCAGGCUCCGGCUGCCUUUUUAUGGUGAAUUAGUCGACACUCUGAGACGCUCUUAUCAGACGGCGCUGGGGGAAAAACAUCUAUCGGGGUUUGGACUCCACUGCUGCGACUACCUGCACACCCGUUUUUUCGGUGAUGUGUGGGGAGCAAAACUACAGUGAGCCAAAUGGACCAUAACAUAAGCUUUCGAUGACAUGUCUCGAGGAUUACCGAUAGAAAGACUUCACCUGGGACGCAGGACGCUGGAUUUAUUGAGAUGAGAAUGUAAUGGUGAAGAACAAUGGCUUCAGGAAACAAUGUGUUGCCACAGAGAGCAUCGAAAUUACAUUUAGUUAUUUACAGCAAAAGAAGACAAACAUAUACAGAAAUCAGAUAUAUGUGAAAUAAUAUAAAACAGAUGUAUAAUGUAUAUGUUUAUGUAUGAAUUUCACAGAUAUGUCACAUACUUGCAUGUAAUGAAUAUAUGAUAAAUUCUUAAAUUCCAUUUUCCAAAAGCAUAGAUACAAAUAUUAGCCAUUAUUAUAUUAGAUUGAACCAUAUUCAUUGUUUUAUUUUGGCAUAUAUAUUUUAUGAUACGUCUCAAACUCUGGAAUUAGACAUACUGUACUAUGUAAAAAGUCAGAUUAGAUUCUUUACCAAAAAUAAAUGUUUCUUUGAGAAGUUUAUUACUAUUUUUGCGUUAUGGUAUUAGUGGGACAUUUUAUUAUAGAUUUUUAAACAUGACGAUCAAAUAUUAUAAUCAGCAAAGAUUUGAGUAUGAAUAAGGAGUCUUGUAACAGGGUAUCUGGCCAAUGCAAAGAUCUCAUCCAUCCUCAAGUCAAUCUGGGAUUACGUCAAGAAACAAAAAAACCUGUUAAAUCCACGAUCUAAUAUGCUUGGAAAUUGAACUAUUGGAUCACAAAUGAGUUUAGAAUCAGAAAUUCAAAAAAGUUGUUUGAUUAGAUCCGAUGAAACUCCCUCCCCACAUGAAAAAAUUCUAAAGUGCCUUUCUAUGGUACCUUCUUAAAGAUGGGGUGACACAGAUUCCACAAAUCUCAUAUUAAUCGUGAGUGCCUAUACAGUAGUAUAUACUUUGUAUCUUCGAAGAGUAUAAAAAAAACAUGCUUAGAUAAACUAAACUUGGCUCUGUACACUGUAGUAGGCUUUGUGAGAGAUGUUUUUAUGUCUCUUAUGCCUUUUGUUGUUCUAAUGUUUGACCCAAUAGCUUCCAUUGUUUACCCACCUUGAAAGUCGCUUUGGAUAAAAGCAUCUGCUAAAUGACUAAAUGUAUAUGUAAAUAUAUUUAGUUUGAUCAAAUUCAUAAAAGAGAGAUACAGCUGUACGACCUGCUGGAGACAAUACAAAUACACAAUACAUCAUCGCAUUAUCCCUUCGUGUUAUUUACAUAAUUUACGUACAUGAUGAUUGGGAACAAAACACAGACAGAUUACUUAGUUGACUGACCGCGUGUGGUUCAAGUCCGGCAUCUUUUAGCUCUUGGAUCGCACCAUCUAUCAGUUUCAAACGGUCUCCAAAUCCAGCGUUAUAUCCACCGUUUAUAUAACAUUUAUCACCCAAAUACAGGAAGCAAACAAACGCACCUCAACUUCCGUCAGCCGAGUGAACUGCCAUUGAUGGCCGUGAUGCGUGGGCGUGCUCUUUCUCUCAAGAUAGCGCGUGAGCCUGGUCUUUCGCUCGGUAAAUGACGCGUGGGCAUGCUUUUCCGGCAGAAUGGCCAUUAAAACAGUGAUCCAGACUUAUAAAAAACUUUCCAAAACAAGUUGGUGUGCUGGAGAAACACUACGUCAUACAUCCACCUCGUUUUUUAACAAGUUUACCAUGUUAAGCAUGAGAAGCCAGCACUUUUAACAGUGUAAAGAAGUGAAAUAGGCAUGAAAUAGCAUGUUACCCCAUCUUUAAACUGUGCGUGAAUUGUUUUUAUGUGCAUACCUGAUUUCACACAUAUGUUUGGAUUACAAUAUAUACUGUAACUCAAAUAAAUAAAACCAAUUAUAAGGUCA
This is a long non-coding RNA of Triplophysa dalaica, 4205 nucleotides long. RefSeq lists it as uncharacterized. The transcript has 2 exons. The record is from RefSeq and is a predicted model, not a curated record. NCBI's taxonomy places the organism in Eukaryota, Metazoa, Chordata, Actinopteri, Cypriniformes, Nemacheilidae.